Trichosurus vulpecula (common brushtail) is the source of this 1129-nucleotide long non-coding RNA. RefSeq lists it as uncharacterized. The record is from RefSeq and is a predicted model, not a curated record. The transcript is spliced from 3 exons. NCBI's taxonomy places the organism in Eukaryota, Metazoa, Chordata, Mammalia, Diprotodontia, Phalangeridae.
AGUCGCUAGGCCUGCCCCCUGUUUGCCCCCGGCCCGUCCGUCUCCUACUUUGGCCGCCCGCUCCUGGAGCUCGGAGGCUCGACCCGGUGUGAGCUUCCUCGACAGUCCUGGACCCAGCACCCCCGAGCCUUGGCCGGCUGGGGUUCCUGGGGAUGGGAUUUGAUUACUGCCACAAAUCACAUUGCCAGGGAUUUCCAACUGACCACUGGCCCUGCUGCUGGAGCUGCCAGUGUCCAAAGGGAUCUGAAGACUGCCUGGGCAGCUUCCUGGCUUUGUGGUGAGAGCUGAGGGACCAGAAGAAGAAGACUUGGCAGAGCUAAAGGGAUGCAGAGACCUACUGAACCUAAUGUACAUUCUAUGCAGCAUUUCGGCAAGCUCAGAUUAUAUCUUCCAAAUUCCUACUCUUGCUAACACUCCCAAUUUAGAUGAGAGAUUCUUAGCCUGGGCUUUCCCCUGAGCCACAAGGAACAGCAAAGGGAUACCCCCUGCCUUAGUUUCUUUCUUUCCAUCCCACACCCUAGGCCUAGUAUCCAUCUCCUUUUCCCUGCUUAGGGUUGGCAAGUUACUCAAGAAGAAAUGAUUCCACACCCCUGCCCCAAGACCGUUAAGUGCCAGCCUUGGGCUUCUAGAAUGAGGCUGUCCUCACUCAAAUGGCCCUCCAGUUUCAUGGACCGUGUAGAGCAUCCCCAGAGCGGAAGCCGUUUAUGAGGCCAGGGGCUUUUCUCUUGAACCCUCCCCUUCUAAGGCAUCCCUACUUGCCUUGACCUCUAGGGAGAGAGGGGAAGGGAAAGGUAUAGGCCGUGCUCCCAGGGGUAAAGGAACAGUGGCUACAAAAGCUUCUCUCUUCAACCAGGUUACUCCCAAGCUCCAAGAACUGCAGCCCCAUGAGACUUGGAUUGAUUCCCACAGCCUCACUGCUGCUUCCAAUGGAGGAUGUAUUUCUGACUCUCUCCUAUCUCCAUCCUUAAAGUGCACAUCGUCAUAGUACCUUAAGUACCUUCCUCUACUCUGAGUGUAUAUAUGUGAUAAAGGCAGGAAGGAGCCUGGGCCAUUCUUCUCCAGGAAGUGGCUCCUGUUCUAAGAGAUGGGCUACUCUGCCUCUGCAUAAAUUGGGAUUUAGACCAUAGUU